UACGUAGGUGGCAAGCGUUGUCGGAAUUACUGGGCGUAAAGCGCGCGCAGGCGGUUUCUUAAGUCUGAUGUGAAAUCUUGCGGCUCAACCGCAAGCGGUCAUUGGAAACUGGGAGGCUUGAGUGCAGAAGAGGAGAGUGGAAUUCCACGUGUAGCGGUGAAAUGCGUAGAGAUCGGCAGGAACACCCAGGGGGAAACCAGCCGACUGGGCAAGUGCUGACGCUGAGGUGCGAGAGCGUGGGGAGCGAACCGG
This 252-nucleotide ribosomal RNA is filed under the name uncultured bacterium. Its description in RNAcentral is "partial 16S ribosomal RNA". It matches the Rfam family "Bacterial small subunit ribosomal RNA", at positions 524 to 776 of the family's 1533-position model. The record is from RNAcentral.